ACGCUCGACACCUACGGGAGCAGCAGUGGGGAAUAUUGCACAAUGGGGGAAACCCUGAUGCAGCGACGCCGCGUGAAGGAAGAAGUAUUUCGGUAUGUAAACUUCUAUCAGCAGGGAAGAAGAUGACGGUACCUGAGUAAGAAGCACCGGCUAAAUACGUGCCANNCGCGGUAGUAUGNGCGGCGUGCGAGACG
Molecule: ribosomal RNA, 194 nt
Filed under: uncultured bacterium
Lineage: Bacteria
Description: partial 16S ribosomal RNA
Rfam family: Bacterial small subunit ribosomal RNA
Source: RNAcentral